AGAGUUUGAUUCUGGCUCAGGGCGAACGCUGGCGGCGUGCCUAACACAUGCAAGUCGAACGGAGAUACAGGGGCUUGCCCCUGUAUCUUAGUGGCGGACGGGCGAGUAACGCGUGAGGAACCUGCCCUUCAGUGGGGAAUAACGGCUGGAAACGGUCGCUAAUACCGCAUGACACAUUGGUACCGCAUGAUACUGAUGUCAAAGGAGCAAUCCGCUGAAGGAUGGCCUUGCGUCCGAUUAGCUAGUUGGUGGGGUAACGGCCCACCAAACCGACGAUCAGUAGCCGGCCUGAGAGGGCGACCGGCCACAUUGGGACUGAGACACGGCCCAA
This 331-nucleotide ribosomal RNA is filed under the name uncultured bacterium. RNAcentral's name for it is "bacterial SSU rRNA". It matches the Rfam family "Bacterial small subunit ribosomal RNA", at positions 8 to 334 of the family's 1533-position model. The record is from RNAcentral.